RNAcentral lists this ribosomal RNA (253 nucleotides) under uncultured bacterium. RNAcentral's name for it is "partial 16S ribosomal RNA". It matches the Rfam family "Bacterial small subunit ribosomal RNA", at positions 524 to 776 of the family's 1533-position model. The record is from RNAcentral.
CACGGGGGGAGCAAGCGUUGUUCGGAAUCACUGGGCGUAAAGGGCGUGUAGGCGGUCAAGUAAGUGGAAUGUGAAAGCCCCCGGCUUACCCGGGGAUCUGCAUCCCAAACUGCUUGGCUUGAGUACGGGAGAGGAUAGGGGAAUUCCUGGUGUAGCGGUGAAAUGCGCAGAUAUCAGGAGGAACACCUACGGCGAAGGCAGCUCGCUGGGACGGUACUGACGCUGAGACGCGAAAGCGUGGGGAGCAAACAGG